GGAUGAGUGAUUUGGUUAUUAAAAGUGGUUAAUUAUAGAAUUAUGGUUAGAAUCCAGAGAAUCAGAAGAAAGUAUAUAGGAGUUGUAGAAGUUAAUUAGGGUGCCAAACUGUAAGAAUUGUAAGCCGAGGGCUAGACUGUGAGAGUCGUAAGUUGAGGGCCAUUGCCGUGAUCGUGUGAGCCGGGGUAAGCUUGGUGCUACCUCUUUUCUUUUACUUGUUAUUUUCUUUGAAUAAGAGGAUUGAGAGUUUCUGAAUAUUGUGAAGUGAAUUAUGGAAUGGAAAUGUGAUUGAUAUUAUUUGAGAAGAAGAAAGAUUGAAUGCUAAAAUCUGAUUGUAGUUCAACAGAGAAAAUGAGUCUGUAUUUGUGUGAAACACUGUAAUGUGAAUGGCAGUUCUGUAUGAAGAAUUCCAGUGAUUGGAAUGAGGGUAAUUGUAUGCUGAAAGCUGUGAGGGCACAGUAUUAUAGUUGGAGAUUAUGAGGGUGAAUAUAUUGGUGGAAAUAUAAAAGUGAAUAUAAAAUAUGAGACUAAUGCAAAAAAGAUUAAACUAGUGGUAUUGUUA
Molecule: long non-coding RNA, 562 nt
Filed under: Physcomitrium patens
Lineage: Eukaryota; Viridiplantae; Streptophyta; Bryopsida; Funariales; Funariaceae
Description: long non-coding RNA (PPAT_LNC004280)
Source: RNAcentral